Molecule: non-coding RNA, 483 nt
Organism: Arachis ipaensis
Lineage: Eukaryota; Viridiplantae; Streptophyta; Magnoliopsida; Fabales; Fabaceae
Source: RefSeq, a predicted model, not a curated record
AAAAAGCAUACAGAAAGCAACAAAUAGGCACCGGAGGAAAGCACACAAUGCAUGAAGACGGUAGAAUACAUGCCGGGGAAGAAAGGAACCAUACACAGUAACUGGAAAGGUACCUGAAACAGCCACAAGCCAAAAUCAUAUCUCAAUAGCAACCACAACAACUCCGCCAUGAAAGUAUAAGUAAGUUUGAGACACAUAAACAGCCAGGAGCAACUCUUAGAAAUAGUUCAUCAUAAACAUGUAAAAUUGUAAAUUAAUGAUCAAUAUGUAUGAGAAUGUACCAUUAAAAAUACUGUUAUAUAGAUUGAAACUGCUUUAUGCAUCACUUCAAGCAGGAACGUUUGGUUAGAAAUAAUUUAGAUACUUUGAAGGAUAAUGCAGUAAACCAGGACUAGGUAAGAAGUUCCCAAUCCCAUGUUUGUCUGAGGGUGAGAUGAGGGAGAAGAGAGAGGGUUUUGGUUUGAAACGGCGUCGUCAAAAAAU